UAGGCAAAAAUCAGUUUCAAUAU
This 23-nucleotide microRNA is filed under the name Drosophila pseudoobscura. Its description in RNAcentral is "dps-miR-2507b-5p". Lineage: Eukaryota; Metazoa; Arthropoda; Insecta; Diptera; Drosophilidae. The record is from miRBase by way of RNAcentral.